CAUUAAUUGGUAACUGAGUAGAUGGGUAAUCUAUAUAUCAACAUAACAAUGAUGAGCUGUCUGCACAUUUUAUGUAGUAUAAUUUGAUGUAGUAAUGGCCUGAGUAGGAGAAAACGGCUAUCUCACAGUCAAUGAGGUUAUUGUAUCCAUUGGGACGUGAUGUUUGAUGAAAGGCCUGUACAUUAUAAGAACAAGGCUGUUUAACCUGGGUGGUAUCCAGUGGGUGUUUGUGUA
This is a non-coding RNA of Pelobates cultripes (western spadefoot toad), 234 nucleotides long. Lineage: Eukaryota; Metazoa; Chordata; Amphibia; Anura; Pelobatidae. The record is from the annotation of a GenBank genome assembly.